Molecule: microRNA precursor, 143 nt
Filed under: Corchorus capsularis
Lineage: Eukaryota; Viridiplantae; Streptophyta; Magnoliopsida; Malvales; Malvaceae
Description: pre miRNA mir-286
Source: RNAcentral
CUGUACUCAAAAGGCGAUCGAUUUAGUCCCUGUACUCACAAGAUUGGGUCAAUUGAGUCCUCAUUGAGCCUUUAUUGAUUGGACUCAAUUGACCCAAUCUUGUGAGCACAGGGACUAAAUUGAUCGCUUUGUGAGUACAGGGA